UACGGGGGGGGCAAGCGUUGUUCGGAAUUACUGGGCGUAAAGGGCUCGUAGGUGGUCAACUAAGUCGGACGUGAAAUCCCUCAGCUUAACUGGGGAACUGCGUCCGAUACUGGAUGGCUUGAGUUUGGGAGAGGGAUGCGGAAUUCCAGGUGUAGCGGUGAAAUGCGUAGAUAUCUGGAGGAACACCGGUGGCGAAGGCGGCAUCCUGGACCAACACUGACACUGAGGAGCGAAAGCCAGGGGAGCAAACGGG
This 253-nucleotide ribosomal RNA is filed under the name uncultured bacterium. Its description in RNAcentral is "partial 16S ribosomal RNA". It matches the Rfam family "Bacterial small subunit ribosomal RNA", at positions 524 to 776 of the family's 1533-position model. The record is from RNAcentral.